This 158-nucleotide ribosomal RNA is filed under the name Bryonia alba. Its description in RNAcentral is "5.8S ribosomal RNA". It matches the Rfam family "5.8S ribosomal RNA". From Rfam's summary of the family: 5.8S ribosomal RNA (5.8S rRNA) is a component of the large subunit of the eukaryotic ribosome. The record is from RNAcentral. Lineage: Eukaryota; Viridiplantae; Streptophyta; Magnoliopsida; Cucurbitales; Cucurbitaceae.
AACGACUCUCGGCAACGGAUAUCUCGGCUCUCGCAUCGAUGAAGAACGUAGCGAAGUGCGAUACUUGGUGUGAAUUGCAGGAUCCCGCGAACCACCGAGUCUUUGAACGCAAGUUGCGCCCGGAGCCUUCUGGCCGAGGGCACGUCUGCUUGGGCGUC